Molecule: ribosomal RNA, 253 nt
Filed under: uncultured bacterium
Lineage: Bacteria
Description: partial 16S ribosomal RNA
Rfam family: Bacterial small subunit ribosomal RNA
Source: RNAcentral
UACAGAGGGUGCGAGCGUUAAUCGGAAUUACUGGGCGUAAAGGGCGCGUAGGCGGUUAUUUAAGUUAGAUGUGAAAUCCCUGGGCUUAACCUAGGAACUGCAUUUAAUACUGGGUAACUGGAGUGUGGUAGAGGGUAGUGGAAUUUCCGGUGUAGCGGUGAAAUGCGUAGAUAUCGGAAGGAACACCAGUGGCGAAGGCGGCUACCUGGACUGACACUGACGCUGAGGCGCGAGAGCGUGGGGAGCAAACAGG